This 404-nucleotide ribosomal RNA is filed under the name uncultured bacterium. Its description in RNAcentral is "bacterial SSU rRNA". It matches the Rfam family "Bacterial small subunit ribosomal RNA", at positions 355 to 776 of the family's 1533-position model. The record is from RNAcentral.
UGGGGAAUCUUAGACAAUGGGGGCAACCCUGAUCUAGCCAUGCCGCGUGAGUGAUGAAGGCCUUAGGGUCGUAAAGCUCUUUCGCCUGUGAUGAUAAUGACAGUAGCAGGUAAAGAAACCCCGGCUAACUCCGUGCCAGCAGCCGCGGUAAUACGGAGGGGGUUAGCGUUGUUCGGAAUUACUGGGCGUAAAGCGCGCGUAGGCGGAUUAGAAAGUUGGGGGUGAAAUCCCGGGGCUCAACCUCGGAACUGCCUCCAAAACUGCUAGUCUAGAGUUCGAGAGAGGUGAGUGGAAUUCCGAGUGUAGAGGUGAAAUUCGUAGAUAUUCGGAGGAACACCAGUGGCGAAGGCGGCUCACUGGCUCGAUACUGACGCUGAGGUGCGAAAGUGUGGGGAGCAAACAGG